Molecule: long non-coding RNA, 3112 nt
Filed under: Homo sapiens (human)
Lineage: Eukaryota; Metazoa; Chordata; Mammalia; Primates; Hominidae
Description: HSALNT0397310
Source: RNAcentral
GGGUGAACAUCCUUGGGAAGCCACAGAGAGCAAGGCGCAGUUUUUCAUUGAUCACCACUUUCAAGAUGCUCCCAGAAUCGUGCUGUCUAGGAAGCCAUUUAAACUGGUGAGAAGCCAUCCUCUCUUGAAUGGGGGCUCCCACUGUACAUCUGGCACCCACUUCACAGAUUCUGGGGGAUGUCAACACCAGCACUGCUGAGCUGUGUGACCUUGAGCAAGACAGUUAGCCUCUCUGAACCUCAGUGUCCUUCUCUGUAGGCUGGAGAUUGAUAUACCUUCAUUAUCGGGGUAUGAGAGUGUUAUAAAUCCAUGAACUGGAAGAUGCUUUCUUAUAACUCAGAGAAAAGAGAUGAAAAUGAAUCAAAGAACAGGAAGGAGACAAGCUCAGGAGAGUCACCCUAAGAAGGAUGUGUGGAAGACUUGACUGGAGGAUCAAAAUGUGUCGGGGGAAGGUGUACAAGGAGGAGUAAGGACACAGAUGUCCUGACUUCACACAGUGGGGGAUUAGAAGCCACCAUCAAACACAGAUGAAACAGGAAUAAAAGUAGUAGUACAUUACUUAAGCUUUAAAAGGGUAAGACUCCUGGGAAUUUGGAAGCUGAGACUUGAGGAGCAGAGGCAUUUAGCUGUGUAAACACAGAGCUUCAGUGGCAGCACCCUAAAUGCUUAGCUGAUAGAUCCGGAAUUAAAUACAGACCUAGAAACUGGAGUUGGAAAACUUCCUGGCAGCACUCCUUCCCUGCCAUCCCGGUGAUCCCCUUCUGGAUGGAGGGUGUGGAGCUCAGCACAUUCACGUCUGCAGUUCUCAGAGAACCAAGUGUUAAGGAAUGUCAGGGAAGGAAGAAGGCAGCCAGCCAGGAAGGGGAGGUCCUGGCCUGAGCACGCCAGGCACAGAGGGAUAGAGGGUAGGGAGGAAACUGCACCUGUCUCCAACCCUCGACCCCAGCCCCGAAACACGACAUUGGCUGAAACAGAUUAAAAGCAUAAAAUGGCCCAAAGAAAUGGGAGAAGGUUGGCCUCUGGUCGGGCAAACAUGAGGGCAUGAAGAUAUAUAAUGUCCCACACGGGAGGAAACCCUUGCCGGGCCCCUCAGGAUUUAUAACAAGCUCACCUGAAGGAGAAACUUCAGGGGCACUUACACCAUCAGAUACCUAGAAAGGAGCUGUCAUUUCCUCACUGAAGAGUUUGCAAGCAGAUGGUAAAAGGGGUUUAAUUUGAAAACACUGAAACAUCGUGUUCGCUCAAAACCAUGACAAUUGCAGUUUUAUUGUCUCCACUCAGGAAAAUGUGUGUCUGGAUCAUCUUGUGGCCCGAAUGGGGAGAAAAGAUGCAGUAUUCCAAAGCAGGAGAUUCACUGAAAAAGAUGUUUAAGAAGUUGCUGAUGAAGAAAAGUUCAGGAUUCACAGCUCCAUACAAAGGGAAUAGCCACUUUUCUCAUUUUGAGAUAUGACUACUAACAAGUAUUAUUCUGCAUCUUCAGCCAGGCUGUGGAAGGCCCCAUUCUUUCUGUAACACAGAUGUUCAAUUGGAAUUUUCCAUCUGGUCACAUAAUUCUGCUUUGGGAUUUAACAGGUUAACUUGGCACUGGUCACUGGCCUUGGAGGGCAAAAUAUGAUAGUUCAGCAUAGAUUCUAUUUGUUGAUAACUCAUCAUAGCCACAUUGGCAUCAAUAAGUUUUCUGUAGGGCACACUUUUCCUUUAAUGUGGACACAGUCACAUAAUAAUAUGCUUAUGGUGCAGACGUUGGUUCUAAACUCACUUUGCAUUAUCUGUAUCUGUAUCUGCAUCUAUAUCUGUAUCUGUAUCUAUCUGUAUCUACAUCUGUAUCUGUAUCUGUACUUAUAUCUGUAUCUGUAUCUAUCUGUAUCUGUAUCUAUAUCUGUAUCUGUAUAUAUAUCUGUAUCUAUUUGUAUCAUCUAUCAGUAUCUGUAUCUAUAUUUGUAUCUAUCUAUAUCUGUAUCUGUAUCUGUCUGUAUUUGUAUCUGUAUCUGUAUCAUCAAUCUGUACCUGUAGCUGUCUGUAUCUGUAUCAUCUAUCUGUAUCUGUAUCUAUACUUGUAUCUGGAUCUAUAUCUGUAUCUAUACUUGUAUCUGUAUCUAUAUCUGUAUCUAUCUGUAUCUGUAUCUGUAUCAUCUAUCUGUAUCUGUAUUUUUAUCUGUAUCUUUAUCUAUACCAGUAUCUGUAUCUAUCUGUACUUGUAUCUAUCUGUGUCUGUAACUGUCUGUAAUUAUUUAUCUACAUCUAUUUCUAUCUAAUCUCAUUUUAUUUUUAUUUAUUUUUGGAGCAGUUUCAGGUUCACAGCAAAAUGGAGCAGCAAACACAGAGAUUUCCCAUACAACCCGGUCCCCACAUGUGCACAGCCUCCCCCAUUGUUAACAACCCCUGCCAAGGUGGCAUUUUUGUUAUAACUGAUGAACCUACAUUUACACAUACUUAUCACCCAAAGUUCAUAGUUUACAUUAGGGCUCACUCUUGUUGUACAUUAUACAGAUUCAGACCGGUUAUGAUGAUACGUCUUUAUCAUCAUGGUAUUGUACAGAGCAGCUUCAUAUCCUAAAAAUCUUCUGCACUCAGUCUGUUCAUGCCUUCCCACUAACCCUUGGCAGCCACUAAUCUUUUUACUGUCUACCUUCUUUUGCCUUUUCCAAAAUGUCAUAUAGUUGGAAUCAUACAGUAUGAGGCCUUUUCACAUUGGCUUUUCUCAUUUAGUAAUAUGCAUUUAAGACUCCUCUCUGUCUUUUUACGGUUUGAUAGCUCAUUUUAUGACUUGAUAGCUCAUUGAUUUUCAGCACUAAAUAAUAUUUCAUUGUCUAAAUGUACCACAGUUUAUUUUUCCAUUCAUCUGUUGAAGAACAUCUUGAUUUUUUCUAAGUUUUGGCACAUAUGAAUGAAUAAAGUUGAUAUACAUAUCUGUGUGCAGAUUUUUCUGUGUAUCUGUUUUCAGCUCCUUUGGGUAAAUAUCAAGGAGUAUGAUUGCUGGAUAGUAUGGCAGGAGUGUGUUUAGUGUUGUAAGAAAUCACCAAAUUACCUUCCAAAGUGAUUGUACCAUUUUGUAUUCCUACCUGCAAUGAAUGAGUUCCUUUAGCUCCACAUCCUUAUAUUUAAUGUCUCA